RNAcentral lists this ribosomal RNA (803 nucleotides) under Chlorobi bacterium SCGC AAA160-D08. RNAcentral's name for it is "bacterial SSU rRNA". It matches the Rfam family "Bacterial small subunit ribosomal RNA", at positions 75 to 859 of the family's 1533-position model. Lineage: Bacteria; Pseudomonadati; Chlorobiota. RNAcentral also lists the same sequence under 2 other names. The record is from RNAcentral.
UAUCUUCGGAUAAUAGUAAAGUGGCGAACGGGUGAGUAACGCGUAAAUAACUUGCCUUGGAGAUUGGGACAACAUUGGGAAACCAGUGCUAAUACCAAAUAAUGCAGCGGGCCCUUCGGGGCAUAGUUGUUAAAGUAGGCUUCGGCUUACACUUCAAGAUAGAUUUGCGUCCGAUUAGUUAGUUGGUAGGGUAAUAGCCUACCAAGACCGAGAUCGGUAGCUGGUCUGAGAGGAUGAUCAGCCACACUGGAAUUGAGAUACGGUCCAGACUCCUACGGGAGGCAGCAGUGAGGAAUUUUGCACAAUGGGCGAAAGCCUGAUGCAGCAACACCGCGUGAUUGAUGAAGUUUUUAGGAAUGUAAAAAUCUGUCGUAAGGGAAGAAAUGUUUCGGAUGUUAAUACCAUCUGUUACUGACGGUACCUUACAAGAAAGGACCGGCUAACUUCGUGCCAGCAGCCGCGGUAAUACGAGGGGUCCUAGCGUUGUCCGGAUUUACUGGGCGUAAAGGGUACGUAGGCGUUUUAAUAAGUUGUAUGUUAAAUAUCUUAGCUUAACUAAGAAAGUGCAUACAAAACUGUUAAGAUAGAGUUUGAGAGAGGAACGCAGAAUUCAUGGUGGAGCGGUGACAUGCGUAGAUAUCAUGAGGAAAGUCAAAUGCGAAGGCAGCCUUCUGGCUCAAAACUGACGCUGAGGUACGAAAGCGUGGGGAGCGAACAGGAUUAGAUACCCUGGUAGUCCACGCCGUAAACGAUGAGUAUUUGGUGCUGGGGGAUUCGACCCUUUCAGUGCCGUAGCUAACGCG